This 923-nucleotide ribosomal RNA is filed under the name uncultured Bacteroidota bacterium. RNAcentral describes it as "bacterial SSU rRNA". It matches the Rfam family "Bacterial small subunit ribosomal RNA", at positions 1 to 916 of the family's 1533-position model. Lineage: Bacteria; Pseudomonadati; Bacteroidota. The record is from RNAcentral.
GGUCCAGACUUUGAUUCUGGCUCAGGAUGAACGCUAGCUACAGGCUUAACACAUGCAAGUCGAGGGGAAACGACAUCGAAAGCUUGCUUUUGAUGGGCGUCGACCGGCGCACGGGUGAGUAACACGUAUCCAACCUGCCCACCACUUGGGGAUAACCUUGCGAAAGUAAGACUAAUACCCAAUGACACCCCACGAAGGCGUCCGAAUGGGAUUAAAGAUUUAUCGGUGAUGGAUGGGGAUGCGUCUGAUUAGCUUGUUGGCGGGGUAACGGCCCACCAAGGCAACGAUCAGUAGGGGUUCUGAGAGGAAGGUCCCCCACAUUGGAACUGAGACACGGUCCAAACUCCUACGGGAGGCAGCAGUGAGGAAUAUUGGUCAAUGGGCGAGAGCCUGAACCAGCCAAGUAGCGUGCAGGAUGACGGCCCUAUGGGUUGUAAACUGCUUUUAUAAGGGAAUAAAGUGAGUCUCGUGAGACUUUUUGCAUGUACCUUAUGAAUAAGGACCGGCUAAUUCCGUGCCAGCAGCCGCGGUAAUACGGAAGGUCCGGGCGUUAUCCGGAUUUAUUGGGUUUAAAGGGAGCGUAGGCCGGAGAUUAAGCGUGUUGUGAAAUGUAGUGGCUCAACCUCUGCACUGCAGCGCGAACUGGUCUUCUUGAGUACGCACAACGUGGGCGGAAUUCGUGGUGUAGCGGUGAAAUGCUUAGAUAUCACGAAGAACUCCGAUUGCGAAGGCAGUUCACGGGAGCGCAACUGACGCUGAAGCUCGAAAGUGCGGGUAUCGAACAGGAUUAGAUACCCUGGUAGUCCGCACGGUAAACGAUGGAUGCCCGCUGUUGGCCUGAAUAGGUCAGCGGCCAAGCGAAAGCAUUAAGCAUCCCACCUGGGGAGUACGCCGGCAAGGGUGCAACUCAAAGGAAUUGACGG